This 52-nucleotide microRNA precursor is filed under the name Marmota monax (woodchuck). Lineage: Eukaryota; Metazoa; Chordata; Mammalia; Rodentia; Sciuridae. The record is from RNAcentral.
UUUUUACCAUAAGUACAUCCCAUGCAAUAUUUAGGGCAUACUUUUACUAACA